UUUCAUGUUUAAAACUUGAGUAAUGAGCAUUAUUUUUCGUAACAUUCAAAAGGGCAUAUCGCACGAUAUGCCCUAAUCACAUGUUAGUACCGAAAUGUAGUCUUCAUUGAAUCUUGCUGGUUUUCGAAUAUCCCUUCGAGGGAAUCCUGAUCGCGUUCGAUUACAAUCAUCCAACUGCUUUGGAACAGAAUCUAUAUCGUUAUCUUCACCUGAAUCCAGUGUGUCUGAUGCCUCACAUAAGGAUGGACAUGGGACUUUUCUCAAAUCGUUGAUGCUUCUUGCAUACUGUACACCAUUUCCACUUAUAAUUACCAUCUUCGGCCCGUCUUGAGCAACGACUGUAUAGCGCUCCGAGGAGAAUGUAGGAUCUGUUUUCUACUUCUUCUGUUGCCUUACAAAGACAACGUCUCUUAUGCGAAUGUCUGAAGGCUUAGCUUGUCGUACACGGUCUGCAUGUUUCUUACUAUAUAGCUUUUCUUCUAAGUCUUUUUCGCGAAUAUCUAUUCUAUCUAGUUUUCUACUACUCUCGUUCCAGAGACUUGGGAAAGUUCCUCGAAACUUCCAACCAGCAAGCAAUUCAAAAGGUGUUAUGUUUAAUCUAGAAUGUGGAAUCAAUGUAUUAUGAUUGUGUACUAACAAUUCCAGCUCUUUCCUCCAAUUUUUGCCAUAGAUUUUUGCUGCAGACAGUGUUUUAAUUAUAGCCUGAUUUUGUCGUUCAACUAAUCCCCUCCCGUGGUUGAUGGGCUUGACGGUAUUGCAAACAUCAUCAGAUACGAUUAAUUAUUGUUACAAUCUAUAUAUAUAAAAAUGCAGAGAUCAUUCUUCGUAAUCGCAUCACGUAAGAACGGAUGGACGGAUUGAGGUGCUUUUUUUUGUUUGAUCAGUUUUUACCCCCACCGGGUUCGUACAUCAAAAAAAUUAGGAAAACUUACCGGAAAAGUGGGAAAAACCAAUAAAGUUAUUUUGUAUGGACAAUGGAAUUUUCCACUGAAAAAGUCGCCAAUGAUUGCUAGAUCUACAAUUGAUGUUUGGCGCGCAAGGAGAUGCUCAGUAUUUCGCCGUUGAAGAAAAGAAUACUAGAUCUUUGUAAAAUCGUUUGGCGCGCAACGAGUAGAUUUGGGUGGAGAUUUUACAUGCAUGAUUGAUUCGUCAUUUGGAAACACGUGCUUAAUAGGGUAUCAAAAUCAUUACUUGCCAAAUGACUGUUUUAGCUAUACCUUAAACAGAAACACAAGUUCUAAUGUCAUUUACCAGUAGAUGUAGUUAGAUGAAUUAUGCUGGCCAUCGUGGGCGUGAGUUGAACAAAUCAAAUAAUGUAACGAUUUUUUUUACGUAUCAAUGAUAGGAUUCUGCUGUUGAAAUAAUGAGUUCAGAUGAAAAUAUUUUCCUUGCAUUUAGCAUGCUGACGUUUGUUCAGCCGAUUCGAGUGAGUUUUCAAGAGUGGUUUACUUCAAAACGAAUGGUAUUCAUGACAUUUGUAAGCUGCUUAAACCAAAUCAUUUCAUUUUCCCAACUUUGGAUUAUUUGACGAAUUACCAUAUGCGAAUCGUGAAUAUCAUAUCUGAAGGAGAAAUCGUGGCAUGUAAGAACCAUUAGUUGUGAGAUCUGCUGUUUUAUACAUUGGCUUUAACGAUAAGAAGAAUACUGGUAUAAUCACUCCUCAUGUUCACUCUGCUAGAACAGAAUAUUGAUUCUCAGGACUGAAUACUAAGCAAACCGAUGUGGUGGCUCGACAAAUGAGAGGCCUUUUGAUACAAUUCUUGAACGAAUAUAGCGUUCGUGUCAAAGUUAAUGGACACAAUAUUUAAUAAAAGGGUAAUUUGAACUUUCGAAUGUCCAAGUAUUUUUCAUUUUAUCGCUAAUUCGUUAAUCGAAAAUUGAUCCUGUCAUUAUCCUGCUACGAACAUUCAUCAAACACGACUAAGUAAUAUCACUAGCGGUGAAGUAGGUUAUGGACAACCGUUCAAAAUUUCGAUAAUCCCUAAGGAUUUGCUAUUAAAUUUUAAACGUCUUCAGUACAUGCUUAUCUUGGUCAUCUCUUUUUCAUCCAUCUGUUAAUUUAUUUACUUGUUUAUUUAGAAGCAAGGGAAAAGCCUACUGGAGCUGAGAUUUUGGUUCUCCUUCUCCAGCAGGCAUAAAACCUUCUCAUCUUUUGUAUCAACAAAUAACAUUUGACCAAAUGAUACAUAACGAAUCUUAAAUUACCCUUAUUUAAACUACAAAGCUAACUAACCACUAUUCAUAUUGACUAAUUAUCCUAAUAAAACUAGCGGGAAAAUAUUUGGAGAAAACGGAUUUUAAUGGCGUUACGAGAUAAAUUGAAAUUAAAUCCAUCAGAACAAGUAUUGAAUACGCGACAUAUACUCGAAAACGGUUCAAUGAACCCAUAGUUAGUUCUAGCACGAGGAAUUCUGAGAAAGGGAUUAAACCGCAAAUUACGCCGAAGAAUGUCAAAACUUAGCUGUUGUAGGUCCGCGACGAAAACAGCUUUUUGUGUAUCACGGCGGACAGAUAGCAAAUCGAAGUGUAUGUCUACAACGAUUUUCGUAGCUUGGAAGAUUAAAUGGAUCUCUCCAGGGCAGGCGACGCAAAGCAAAACGAAUGAACUUGCACUGAACAGUUUCAAUGCGUAGCUUAUCUGUUUGAUAAUAUGGUGCCCAAACAACAACAGCAUACUCGCGAACUAGAGCGCAAUAUAACGAUUUCAGGCAGUAUAUGUUAUUGAAAUUUGUUGAGAUGCGAAAGAUGAAUCCUAGCAUCUUUAAUGCUUUAGAGAGGGUAUAUUCUAUGUGAUUUUUGAAACUAAGUUUUGAAUCCAAUAACACUCCUAGAUCCUUAAUUGAUGUCUCCCGUUUUAGUACAGCUUGCGAAAUAGUGUAAUCAUACAUGAUCGUGGUUCGUUUACGAGAGAAGGAGAUUACGAAGCAUUUGAAGGCGUUGAUAACCAUUCUGUUGACGUUGCACCAGUUAGAAAAUACAUCCAACUGUAACUGCAAGAAAUUUGAGUCUUUCAGAUCUUUGAUAAGAUGAAACAGCUUGAAAUCGUCGACGAAUGAUAGCUUCAUAUAUUGCAAUGCGAAAUUCAGAUCAUUUAGAUAUAGCAAAAAUAUGAAUGGUCCUAGAUGGAUUCCCUGAGGAACGCCAGAGCUCACGAUGAAUGAUGGAGUAACGCAGUCGCUAAAUUUCACGGUCGUACUACGACCAGUCAGAUAUGAUUCAAUCCAAUCCAUCAUCCCACAUGUCAAAUCUUUAGUUUGAGAGAGAUCUACAAUCUCUGUUUAAUACACUGACUCGAAGGAUGAGAUGGCAAACGGUGUAUUUGUUUAGUUUUUGCGUAACAAAAGCAUUGAACAUAUCCACAAUAAUUCUUGAUGAUAUUUCUUCUUCGGGACGAAGUUAUUGUGUUGGAUAUGAAUUUGUCGUAAUUCUUUUAUUGUAAGCCAAGUAAUCAGUAAAAUAAUGGAAAGAAACAUUAACGUUUGGCAACUCUGCUGUUCGAAAACACAAAUUGAAAAAAAUAAUUUCAGGCGAGACGAAGUUCGACGGGUCAGCUAGUUUAAUAUAAAUAUGUGUUAUAAGUUUUAGUUUAAUUAUUGAGUUUAUUGAGUGAGGCAUGAAACGAUUUGAAUAAGAUGUUGAUUGCAAUACGCUCCAACAUCCGGGGUUGGAGAGUCCGGUAGGGCUUAACUGAGUUCUUUUUUAUGUUUCAUUUUCAUACUACCGGCCCUUAUUACCGGUGUGAAGUGGAAAUUAAGCGAAAUGAACGUACCCCAGUCAGGUUUCACACGAUAACGGAAUAGUUGAAUGGUGAAUUAAGUUCAUCUUUGACGUUUAUUCUGUGAGGUUGUGUUGUGCUCGUGUGGGAUCUGAUGGAUGAGGUGAUAUGUGAGUGAAGUAUAAGUGAAGUGGAAUGCAAGAACGGUAAUAAAGGCCACCGUUUCAGCUCAGGACUAACGAUCGACCAAUAAAAGAGAUAGAAAAUGGGUGACGGCACCCCCAUUCAUCUCAAAUCCAUUAGUCAUUUCUUAUAUGAAAACCAUUGAUUAGAGCGAGAUAUGUUGUGUCUGUUCGAUAGAUUGACUUCGUGAGAUGAGGUUAGGAGUAUUUCGCGUAGCUAUAACAGCGAUAUCGUACAUUAUCUGAACUACUUUUAUGUGGUAUUGCUUAUAAGAGAUGAAGCAAAGAUUUUGUAUUUGAUUUCAUCACAAUUCAUUUAUUGAAAGUCGAGUAAUCGGUAGAAUAAUAUGGUGACUCUAUUAAUGAAAUGACUAUUGGCACAAUGAAUUUAGUUAAAAUCUAUUAGAAUAGAAAUAGUAAAUCAAUGUUACAAUAUUUGUGUGUAUGUAUGUAUAAAUGUGUGUACGUCAGUAUGCCUUGGUGCCUGUAUAUAUUUAUACAUGUAUGUAUGUAUGCGUUGUAUCAAACCGUAUAUGGUGAUACAUUUCGAUUGUGAGUGAAUAAGAUUGCAUUACGCUCCAACAUCCGGGGUUGGAGAGACCGGUAGGGCUUAACUGAGCUCUUUUUAUGUUUUAUUUUCAUACUACCGGUCCCUAUUACUAGUGUGAAGUGGAAGUUAAGUGGGGUGAACGUAUCCCAAUUGGGUUUCACAAGAUGACAACAGGUGAACGGUGAAUCGAGUCCAUAUUUGGCGUUUAUUGUUGGUUUGUGUACAAUGGAUUACUGUGGAAUGAGAUAGAAUAUUGUAGAAUAGGACGAAAUAAUAAUGAAUCAACCAAUGGACUGAUAUGUAUUCACCUGUACAUUCAUUAAACAUGGUCGAUAUGUUUAGCAUACGACAAUACUACCUAUGGCUCUAUUAAAAUGUGCUCUAGGAAAGAGAAUAAAGCACUUCCUUCUUGAAAAUCAUCGAGUGCAGUUGUAUAUAGUUGAUCAUCCGAAUCCUGAAAAUUAAAAAAGAAAAUUAAAUUAAUAGACAUAAAAAGUGGCGACGAGGAGAAUUUUUUUUUUUUUGAUAAAGUGAGAUCUUGAGCGCGAUAACGUUGGUGGUAAAAAUUUGGAGUGAUUUUUACGGAGCGAGCGGCUAGGGUCGACGAAUUAAAUUAUAAGACGACAACGUGUCCCGUGGAAGGGCAGCCAUUGAGCUUUUAUUCUUGGAUGAAGCAGCGGACAAGUGAAACAUUUCCUGUGGAAGCAGUUUUCGGUUGCUGAAAGGCGAAACUAUUGUGUUGGCUUUGGAAGGUGUCCAAUCAACGGUAGCGGUGGGACGGACAUCACACGUUUCAGAGCAGAGUGGAAAUUAGAUACGGCUGGAGUUUUCAGCGGCCAUCGUGAUUUGUCGUUGGGUUAGCAUCUUCGUAUUCGGUAGAAUAUUAAUAAAGGUCCCGUUUCGGACAGUGGUUGAGGAAGAUAACAAAAAUUUCACACGGAAGAGUUGUGUUAAAAGAUUUUUUUCGGUAAAAUUGCUGACAAAGGUCGGACAUAGUAUCUGAUCUUGCUUGGAAUCGUGGCCAUAAUGGCACACCGAAAACAAAUUAGGUGCUAUAAGGAUCGAGACCCGGAGCCAAGACCAAACAUGAUGAUGGGUCCAAGUUCGGAAGCUGAUAGAUUCGGAAUAUUAGAGCGAGAGGAGUCAUUAUAUGGAGCUGGAAGCGGCUCAGAAGAAAACCUGUUCCGGGGAUUCUCGGAGCAUGAUCUGGCGAAGGUCGGACGGAAAAGAAAAGCUUCAACGGCGAACUUGCCGGGAGGCUGUCUUCGACGCUCAAAGCGUCUUCGGAAGCAAACAGAGAAUCCAGAUUUUUAUUAUGAUCGUUAAUUGAGUCAAAAUCAUUUCGGAUAGAGUCCGUUCAGAACUUUAAGUAAUUGAAUUUCAAAAUUUUAUAUUUGUUUAAACUUGAUUAGUUACAUUUAGGAUAUAUUAAUCCUUUCAAAACUGAAUAUAUUUAAAAAAUAAUUGUUAUUUUUCUAUUGCUUUCUGUAAAUAAGUUCAAAUACACUUUGUAAAUAUUAUUAUUAAGAAAACUCUUUAAAAAGGGAAGAAUUGAUAUGUAUUCACCUGUACAUUCAUUAAACAUGGUCGAUAUGUUUAGCAUACGACAAUACUACCUACGGCUCUAUUAAAAUGUGCUCUAGGAAAGAGAAUA
Malaya genurostris is the source of this 6101-nucleotide long non-coding RNA. RefSeq lists it as uncharacterized. The record is from RefSeq and is a predicted model, not a curated record. The transcript is spliced from 3 exons. NCBI's taxonomy places the organism in Eukaryota, Metazoa, Arthropoda, Insecta, Diptera, Culicidae.